UAUAUCUAUAUAUAGUAUAAAGCUAGGCAUAGACAAUCCUAUGUGGCACCUCUCUAUGGCCUCCAUUGGCAUUUAUCUUUUUUCUCAAUUUUUUGACAUUUUCCUCUUCAUUUCUCUAUUUAAUUAAAUAAAAUUAAAGGUUUCAUCUCUCCACCCAUAAGAAAGAUUCACUCACUAUUUAAUAGCUUUAUAUUUGCCAUCACUUGCCACCAAUAAUUACACCUAUUCAAAAUAUUAAAAUCAUAUAAAACAGUCAAUUAAAUAAAAAAUCGUUAUAGAAACCCAAAAGUCACACCACUUCAAUAUAAUUUAAGGGUUGUCCGUGGAAAGCAUGCAGUUGCUCGUCUCCCAUUUCUAUUUUGGGGUCAGGCCAAUUCCUAAUGAUGAAUGAUCUGUAAAGAUAGAGUUUAGUCUUAAAAUCUUGACCAAAUCAAGUGAAUUGAGCACUUCCAACUACUCCACACUCACGGUGAGAAGAUUUUGCUUUCUUUUCGUAUUGAAUUAUUAACAAAAUAUUAACCUCUCAUCAAUCUGGUAGGUUAAGUUACUUUUGCUUUUAAUUUGAUUUUCUGUUUUGGAUAACUUCUGUUUGUUUUUAUUUUGUCAGUAGAUCAGACAUAGAACAAGUAUUUAAAGGUAAUGUUCUUUGUUGCUAUUUAAAAAAAAAAAAAAAAAAAACUCAGUACUGAAUACAGACAACAGUAGGUAACAUGCUAAAAGAGUUACUAUAUGAUGUUAAUUUAUAACUUUGAAUUGUAUGAUUUGGACAACGACAAUUAUGGAUUAGCAAUAAUAUUUCUAACAUGAUUUUUCUUUUCCUUUUUUUUUUCACUUCUAGCAGACUUUUCCUUUCGCUCCUUGAUCUUUUGCUUUGCAUUUUAUUUUUGGAGCUGGCAGUUCCGUCUAACUGAUCUCUGUGGAUCUGAAAAUGUGCAAUAGAUUAUUUAUAACUCUAAGCUCUCCUUGAUAGUACUCCAUAUUCACACAGUUACAAUUCAAAAAAAAAAAAAUUAAUGAUGAUGUUUUAGAAAUGUAAUCUUGCGACUAAUCUCACUUCUUUUUUCCUACAAACUAAUUUAAAUAAUGCUGAAAGAUUAGUGGCCUGACUAACAGUCAAGGUUCUAUUUGUUACUGAUCUAUUCCAUUAAUAUGAAGUAUUUUUCUAUUCUCCUUGCGUGUGCAAAUUGUAAGAAAACUCAUGAAUUUUGAAGAAAAAAAUCACCUUACUACAGGCUGGGCUGUCAACAGGGUUGCCAACUCUGUACAACAUAUUUCUUCUUGGUUGAGAUGUGAUGGAUAUUAUUUUCUGUUCUCUUCUUUGAUUCAUUUUCAGGAGAGAUUUUGUAGUAAUAUUACAUUCCAAUUUCCCUGGCACAAUAAUAGAAGUACAUUACUCUGCUUUUCAUA
Lycium ferocissimum is the source of this 1407-nucleotide long non-coding RNA. RefSeq lists it as uncharacterized. The record is from RefSeq and is a predicted model, not a curated record. The transcript is spliced from 3 exons. NCBI's taxonomy places the organism in Eukaryota, Viridiplantae, Streptophyta, Magnoliopsida, Solanales, Solanaceae.